Molecule: small nuclear RNA, 242 nt
Filed under: Castor canadensis (American beaver)
Lineage: Eukaryota; Metazoa; Chordata; Mammalia; Rodentia; Castoridae
Description: 7SK RNA (ENSCCNG00000009135.1)
Rfam family: 7SK RNA
About the family: 7SK was discovered as an abundant small nuclear RNA in the mid-70s but a possible function has only recently been suggested. Two independent studies have found that 7SK RNA binds the CDK9/cyclin T complex (known as elongation factor P-TEFb).
Source: RNAcentral
GGACCCUGAGGCUGAUCUGGCUGGCUAGGUGGGUGUCACCUUCCUUCCUCACCACUCCAUGUGCGUCCUCCUGGAUGUUGUGCACUUGGAGAGGACAACCUUCCCUGAUGGAGGAGGACCAUCCUUCCAUCAAGGGUAUACUAUUUGCUUUGCUCUCCUGGAAGAACCUUCAAACAAGCUCUCAUUUUCUGCUAUACUCUUUUCCCUAUACAACCUUAAUAACAGUUACACAUUCUAUCUUA